RNAcentral lists this long non-coding RNA (1726 nucleotides) under Pomacea canaliculata. RNAcentral describes it as "uncharacterized LOC112568382". Lineage: Eukaryota; Metazoa; Mollusca; Gastropoda; Architaenioglossa; Ampullariidae. The record is from RNAcentral.
GAGUAGUGCCCGUGUUCCUGUAAAGACUGACACACACGAUGUGCAAUGACAAUAUAACAGGUCAGAAGUAGUUGUGAGUAUAUUUUAAAUACAUUGCUUUAAGGUCGUUCAAAGGAAGUUUAGGUAAACUUUCACACGGAAACUGCAAUCUUAAUUUGUGUGUAUGUCCUUGUUUUAGAAUCAGUGUUUGUGAUCUUUCUUGCCCAGUUGUUCACAUUGUACAGAUUCCUAAGAUGCACAGAACCAGAGAGCAUUGAAAUGCUUACUUCUUUUUGUCUGCUUACGUUUGUUCUUUUUGCUCUGAAAGGAAAGACCCAUGGUGGAGAGGAAUACAACUGUGCUGACAUCAGGUUCCUCAAUCAGCAUGACGAUGUUAUCUAUCUCAACGUCAACGAUUAUAUCAACAUUACUUUUGCUAUAGACUGGGUUAACUGUUCAUUUCCUACGAGCGGACGGUUUCUCAAGUAGUAGCUAAGACCACCGAGCAGCCAGAAGACAAAUGCAAAAUACUCCUGAUCAAAGGCACCUGCAAUGUCUCGGAUACCUCACCUGUGCUUCUGUAUGACCUCCGAUGGCCCAAUCACAUUCUACAAGAGAAUCACCAAGCCUGUCAACAUGACAUAUGAGUGGCUAUGGUACCAUGGAGAUGAAGCCAAAGUAAAAAGCUGUAACUGUUCACAUUCUUGAUGUGCCGCUUGAAGUGGUGACAUGUUGCGAUACUGAGGACGACUCGCCCCGUCCUGGCGUUGUUGUUGCUGUUGUUGUGGGUACUUGCUGUGUUCUUGCUGUCGUCGCCUUAGUCAUCAUUCUUUUCAUUCGUAAAAAGGUUAUGAGAACCAAGAACCCGUCCCCUCAAAAAGAGAAGACGACUCAGCUUUCUCGAGUGUCUCCACCACAGAACGAAAAUGGAAAAAUGUCUGUUCACUUGGCACAGUACGAAGAUGUGUGCGAUGCAACACAUUCUCAGAAUAAUGCAGGAAGCCGUGUGACCUAUAGUGCACCCACAGCCGAUCAGACUCAGUCGGAGACACACAUUUACUCAAAUGUUGGAGAGGAGUGCCAGGAGGAACUUUAUACUGAAUUAACGAUUUGAAUUCACGCGUUGAAUACAUUUUACUCAAAGGGAGGAGAGGAGUUUGGAACUUAUCUUUCGUGUUUAGUAUGUGUCAUUAAAACAGCCAUACAGAAUUGCAAGGCCUUCACGAAAGGUUUUUGUUACACUUAUCUUGUACCUCUCUUCUGCUCAAUGUUUUGUGAGGCUUAAUUUAAUUUUAAAAAGCAGUAACAUUCUAUGGUAUGUAUUGUAUGAAACAAAAUAAAUGUAAAAAAAGCAGUAACAUUCUUCAUCAAGACGAAUGGAUUACUUCUCAAAUUAAAGUUCAAUGUUUUAUUAUUCUACUCCCUAGUUUUUAAAUGGUAGCCUGGGGUGUGGCACAACUCUGUUGCUAGGUUACCGGAAGCUUUUCGCUGUCACUGUAUACACAGGGAAAGUGAUGAUGGUCAGAUGCUGUGGACAACACUCAUAAAAUGCAGCAGUCAGACAGGAGACACACUUGUGUAAAUGGCUUUUCUGUACAGAGAAAUUCAGAAUAUAGACCUCACGUGCACACGCGCACACACGCACACACAGGUACAUGCAAGCUCUCUCUUUCUCUCUCUUUCACACAAUGUGUUUUGUUCAGUGUAAUUAGAUAGUCUUCUACGUCUAGGCCUGGAGCCUCGCAAU